RNAcentral lists this ribosomal RNA (367 nucleotides) under cf. Garcinyes sp. GX52. RNAcentral's name for it is "partial small subunit ribosomal RNA". The record is from RNAcentral. Lineage: Eukaryota; Metazoa; Arthropoda; Arachnida; Trombidiformes; Eriophyidae.
CUUAUUCGUUUAAGAGUGACGGGCGAUAUGUGCAUGCCUCAUUUCAAUUUUAAACAAAAAAUCAUAUUUAUUAAGUUUAUUUUUAAGUCCUCUUUCCACAGUUUCAUUUAUUUGUAUCCUUUUUAUUUUCAUUGUAUUCCAUUCCUCCUUCUAUAUUUUUUUUGUCUUGAUCUGUCUUCUAUUUUUUCUUUAUUUUUUAGAGAGAUAAUUUUUUAUUCUCUUUGAAACGAUGAUAUAAGAAAUGAUAAUUGAAGUUCCUUUAAUCGUGGGUUGUCGAUUUUAGUCCCAGAAUCCCCUAAUUUGAUGUGACACCGCCAUUCCAUUUAGAUUUUUCUUUUUUUAGUUACUAUCUUUUCUUUUGCUAAAA